Molecule: unclassified non-coding RNA, 193 nt
Filed under: fungal sp.
Lineage: Eukaryota; Fungi
Description: partial internal transcribed spacer region
Rfam family: Eukaryotic small subunit ribosomal RNA (bases 1-46)
Source: RNAcentral
AAGUCGUAACAAGGUUUCCGUAGGUGAACCUGCGGAAGGAUCAUUUCCAAAUACCGGGAGUUCGCUCCCCAAAUGAGAUUGCCCCAUAAAGCAAAGCUUUUUCGGGGCUUCUCAAAAUCUGCCUGUUGUAUUGUUUGACAAAAUUACAUGUUAUAAUACAUAACAACUUUUAACAAUGGAUCUCUUGGCUCUU